This 433-nucleotide ribosomal RNA is filed under the name uncultured bacterium. Its description in RNAcentral is "partial 16S ribosomal RNA". It matches the Rfam family "Bacterial small subunit ribosomal RNA", at positions 29 to 507 of the family's 1533-position model. The record is from RNAcentral.
AACGAACGCUGGCGGCAUGCCUAACACAUGCAAGUCGAACGAGAAGACCGGGACCUUACGCGUAUGGGGUUGUCAGGCGUCGGAACCUGCCCAUAGGUUUGGCCUAACUAUCCGACAGGGGUACUAACACCGGACAAUGUCUUCUGACCAAUGACAUAUCGACCUGGGUUGGUCCCGCGUUGGAUUAGGUCGUUCGUAGGGUAAAAGACUACUAAGGCGACGAUUCAUAGCUGGUCUGAGAGGCUGGUCAGCCACACUGGGACUCAGACGCGGCCUAGACUCCUACGGGAGGCAGCAGUGGGGAAUAUAGGACAAUGGGCGAAAGCCUGAUCCAGCAAGGCCGCGUGAGUGAUGAAGGCCUUGGGGUUGUAAAGCUCUUUUACCCGGGAUGAUAAUGACGGUACCGGGAGAAUAAGCUCCGGCUAACUCCGUG